AUUGAACGCUGGCGGCAGGCCUAACACAUGCAAGUCGGGCGGAUGAAGGGAGCUUGCUCCUGGAUUCAGCGGCGGACGGGUGAGUAAUGCCUAGGAAUCUGCCUGGUAGUGGGGGAUAACGUCCGGAAACGGGCGCUAAUACCGCACACGUCCUGAGGGAGAAAGUGGGGGAUCUUCGGACCUCACGCUAUCAGAUGAGCCUAGGUCGGAUUAGCUAGUUGGUGGGGUAAAGGCCUACCAAGGCGACGAUCCGUAACUGGUCUGAGAGGAUGAUCAGUCACACUGGAACUGAGACACGGUCCAGACUCCUACGGGAGGCAGCAGUGGGGAAUAUUGGACAAUGGGCGAAAGCCUGAUCCAGCCAUGCCGCGUGUGUGAAGAAGGUCUUCGGAUUGUAAAGCACUUUAAGUUGGGAGGAAGGGCAGUAAGUUAUUACCUUGCUGUUUUGACGUUACCAACAGAAUAAGCACCGGCUAACUUCGUG
This 484-nucleotide ribosomal RNA is filed under the name uncultured bacterium. Its description in RNAcentral is "partial 16S ribosomal RNA". It matches the Rfam family "Bacterial small subunit ribosomal RNA", at positions 30 to 507 of the family's 1533-position model. The record is from RNAcentral.